GCCCACACGAAGUCGGAGUUGCUAGUAAUCCCAAAUCAGCAUGUUGGGGUGAAUGCGUUCCCGGGUCUUGUACACACCGCCCGUCACGCCAUGGGAGUUGGGAGUACCCAAAGUCGGUGACCUAACCUGCAAAGGAAGGAGCCGCCUAAGGUAAUACCGAUGACUGGGGUGAAGUCGUAACAAGGUAUC
Molecule: ribosomal RNA, 189 nt
Filed under: uncultured bacterium
Lineage: Bacteria
Description: partial 16S ribosomal RNA
Rfam family: Bacterial small subunit ribosomal RNA
Source: RNAcentral